RNAcentral lists this ribosomal RNA (429 nucleotides) under Pseudomonadota bacterium. RNAcentral describes it as "Proteobacteria bacterium partial 16S ribosomal RNA". It matches the Rfam family "Bacterial small subunit ribosomal RNA", at positions 355 to 776 of the family's 1533-position model. The record is from RNAcentral. Lineage: Bacteria; Pseudomonadati; Pseudomonadota.
UGGGGAAUAUUGGACAAUGGGCGAAAGCCUGAUCCAGCCAUGCCGCGUGUGUGAAGAAGGUCUUCGGAUUGUAAAGCACUUUAAGUUGGGAGGAAGGGCAGUAAGCGAAUACCUUGCUGUUUUGACGUUACCGACAGAAUAAGCACCGGCUAACUCUGUGCUAGCAGCCGCGGUAAUACAGAGGGUGCAAGCGUUAAUCGGAAUUACUGGGCGUAAAGCGCGCGUAGGUGGUUCGUUAAGUUGAAUGUGAAAGCCCCGGGCUCAACCUGUGAACUGCAUCAAAAACUGGCAGGCUAAAGUAGAGAAGAUGGUGGUGGAAUUUCCUGUGUGGCGGUGAAAUACGUAGCUAUAGGAAGGACCACCAGUGGCGUAGGCGACCACCUGGGCUCAUACUGACACUGAGGUGCGAAAGCGUGGGGAGCAAACAGG